CGCGGAGUAGAGCAGUUCGGUAGCUCGUCGGGCUCAUAACCCGAAGGUCACAGGUUCAAAUCCUGUCUCCGCAA
This 74-nucleotide transfer RNA is filed under the name Clostridia bacterium. Its description in RNAcentral is "tRNA-Met". It matches the Rfam family "tRNA". Rfam says of the family: Transfer RNA (tRNA) molecules are approximately 80 nucleotides in length. Their secondary structure includes four short double-helical elements and three loops (D, anti-codon, and T loops). Further hydrogen bonds mediate the characteristic L-shaped molecular structure. tRNAs have two regions of fundamental functional importance: the anti-codon, which is responsible for specific mRNA codon recognition, and the 3' end, to which the tRNAs corresponding amino acid is attached (by aminoacyl-tRNA synthetases). tRNAs cope with the degeneracy of the genetic code in two manners: having more than one tRNA (with a specific anti-codon) for a particular amino acid; and 'wobble' base-pairing, i.e. permitting non-standard base-pairing at the 3rd anti-codon position. The record is from RNAcentral. Lineage: Bacteria; Bacillati; Bacillota; Clostridia. RNAcentral also lists the same sequence under 1 other name.